AAAGCGCGGCUGGCUUUCCAUUGGUCCUCGUCCAACUAUCUUCGUGAAGUCGUAGCCUGUAGCUCGGUACGGCAGCUGUGCGGACGUUCCGGGAAGGAUUGGCGCCAAAAUAAAAUCAAUCCUUCCAGACAGAGAGUGUGUGCGGGUGUAUGUACCGCUUGGCUUACCGGCACCCGGCUGCACGCCAUCCUGCGGUGUCACCCGGCUCACCCAUGCACGCUGUACUGCAUUAGUGCCUGGCUCACCCAUGCAUUAGUAAGAAGUUUAAAGAAAACCAGCGCUGGCUGUUUUGAUUGAAAAAAACAAAUGGACAGUUUGUUUAAAAAAAAUCGUAUUUAUUCACCAUUAAACAUUUAAAAGAUCUUAUAAAAGAAAAAUAUGUACUUGAAUUAAGACAAUACUAAAAUUGAAUAAUGCCAUCAGAAGAAGAGUGAAUAUCUCUCAGCCAGUCCACUCAAAUUGCUUCUAUAUGCAAAUAAUCACUCGACUAGGACCGCCUCCAAUAAAAAUAAAGACAGCACAAAGAUUGAAAGCGAAAAGGAGAGAAAAAAAGAGGAGGAGUGACGGUGAAAAUAUACCUUUAUGUGAAAGACAACAUAUUGACAACAUUGGGAGAUCGAACCAGAUGGGAUCAGGCCUUAAAGUUAUUACGAAGAGUCUGUCAUCACCUCGUCAUUAAAGUGGUUGGCACCCCUAGGACUAUAUAACAUAACGUGAACACUGGUCCAUAUCAUGUAUGCUGACUCCAUAUUUUGGUUAUAGUGAGCGCUAAUUGUGGUUGUGUUUACAUUAUUGUAUUAAUUGUUUUUAAAUUGGGCGCUUAUUCAGCAGAUGCAGUGUACAACAUUCUAAUGUUGACCUUUGUCAAAGCUUUGCAAAUGGCAAUCCAUUACCAUAAGCAAAACCACAAUAGAGGAAUUUACAUGUAAAUGUACAUUUGGAUCAGGAAGCAGUUGGCUUCCUGAUGAACGGGAUCUCAGUGGUCAAUAUACUGAUGUCGGGAUCCCGAAGUAGGACGCAAUCCCGGCGCCAUGAUACCACCGCCGCAUGGGAUACCAGUGUCACAAUACCAACAGGCGGCAUCCCGAUUGUCCUGACACUGGGACGCACUGGUGUCCUGCCGCAGGCUUGGGAGCAAAAAUGGAUCAAAGAAGACUCUUGUUUGGGUGCACUCUUGUUCAAGUUAUAAUGAUAUUAUUAAAACAUAACGUUUAUUAUGCCUGGUUAAAAAAAGUUCAGUAUUCACUCAUUCUCCCCAUGGAGUUGGUACAAAAAAGUGAAAGAAAAAA
Molecule: long non-coding RNA, 1289 nt
Organism: Pseudophryne corroboree (corroboree frog)
Lineage: Eukaryota; Metazoa; Chordata; Amphibia; Anura; Myobatrachidae
Exons: 3
Source: RefSeq, a predicted model, not a curated record